Myodes glareolus (Bank vole) is the source of this 917-nucleotide long non-coding RNA. RefSeq lists it as uncharacterized. The record is from RefSeq and is a predicted model, not a curated record. NCBI's taxonomy places the organism in Eukaryota, Metazoa, Chordata, Mammalia, Rodentia, Cricetidae.
CAGAACAGGAAGUAGGCUUUUAAUCUUUGGUCUGAAAUCAAGUGUUUCAGAAAACGAGAAGGCUCCAGCUGGAGGAAGGCUUAAUGUGUCACAAGUCACAACAGGAAGCUAGGUGACUCGGCUUCGCCGCUCCUGUCACGACGUCUGGGCAGGCUCAUCCAUUCGCCCAUCCGAUCCGUGGGAAGCUGCCUCUUCCCCGUGUACCCCAGCCAAACCACAUAUGGAAACCCUGGUGCACAGAUUCCAGCUGCCUUCUAGCUCUAGAGUACAAGUCUAGUCUGCUGCCCAGAACCACUAAGUGAGAAAACUGACUCCAAAACACCCUUGGCCUGAUCAGCUCACCAGUGGAUAGGACAUGGCUUCCCAGUGUGUGCGAACAGGAGUUGGACACCAGCCCAGGAAGAGAUCAGAACAUUGGUGAGAAUAUUCUCCGAAAAACAACUUGGCAUUUCCCCCCGCAAGUUAAAUGUGGAGUGACCACAUGACCAAACAAAAUCAACCUUUCAGAUGAACAUGUACAUCAUGUAAAGGCUUGCUCACCGUCCUCGUGAGAGGGAAAAAGUGGGAACGGUCCAAAUGUCCAUCAGCUCAUGAAUGAACAUGCAGGGAGCAUACAUUGGAACAAUUACCCGGCAGUCAAGAAGAAUGAAGUCCUGGUGCUUGGAAUGUGGACGGAUCUCAGAAACCUCCUAUCAGCUGCCAGAUGCUCAUCACAAAGACCACACAUCACACGACUCUGCUGAUCCAAAAUGUCCAGAGUAGGCAGGUUCACAGGCAGGAGGAGAUUAGUGGUUUUCAGAGGCUGGGGGGACAGGAGGUAGUGGACGGAGGGUUUCUUCCUUGGUUGAUGAAAAUGUUCUGGGAUUAGAUCGUGGUAAUCAUUGCAUAACUGCAAAUAUACUAAAAUACACUAAAUU